UUUCAAUCGUCUGAGACAAUUAUAGCUUUGCAUGUUAAUACACACACAUAUAUGAUGACUUAGUAACAAUGAAAACCAGAAUCAGGUAUAAAUUCCAACUAUAACGAUUCAAUUCGCUGCUGCAACAAAACUAAUCAACCAUCAUAUUGCCAAAACAGUGUCAGCUAUCAGUAGGUUAUGACCAGCUAACACACACAUACACAUGAUUAUACCAAACAUUAUUAAGACUACACCAGAGGCGGAUAUUGCUUGGCCUGCAGCUUAACCCGUUUCUUGUACUCAAUAGCAUCCUGAAUAAAGAGAUGAUAUCCUUCAGUUUGAGCAGGAUCAGCAGGGUUUGGCUGA
RNAcentral lists this unclassified non-coding RNA (345 nucleotides) under Hevea brasiliensis (rubber tree). Lineage: Eukaryota; Viridiplantae; Streptophyta; Magnoliopsida; Malpighiales; Euphorbiaceae. The record is from RNAcentral.